This is a non-coding RNA of Paramisgurnus dabryanus, 1536 nucleotides long. The record is from RefSeq and is a predicted model, not a curated record. Lineage: Eukaryota; Metazoa; Chordata; Actinopteri; Cypriniformes; Cobitidae.
CUCUGGAUGUAAAAUACUCCAUUAUAACAUCGUGUAGGACACUGGCAUCAACAGGAUUGCUCAAAUUGCGGCGAUCAUGUUAAUCCUUAAAGUGAGCAACUUUGUAAAAAAAAAAACUUUGCGUGAAAUAGUGUGUUACACCGCCGCCUGUCCGGGUGAAACAUUAAAGAGGCAGGCUUGUUACCUUGUCACUAUAAAUCGCUAUUUCCUCACUAAAUAUAUUUUCAGAGAUUUUCUGUAGACAAGAUGUUAGAAUAAUAAUUUAAUAAAAACCCAAUUCUGACAAAAGUUACAUUUGACUUAUUUAGUUACUUUUCUGAAAAUCUUAUUCCACUGGUAUGCAUCAUAUUAAACAGAAUGCUUUCAAUGUCAGCCAGUAACACAUCAUAUCUUUUUUUUACAGCUCUAACGUUACAGUUUGCUCCACUUUGCUCUGUGGUUUAUAUGUUUUCUUCUUACCAUUGCUUGUAAGCUGGAUUGAGUAAGAUGGAUCAUCUUUAAAGGAACCAGGAGUUAAGGCAGAUGUGGAGGCACACGGGUGACACCAGACACACACCAAGCACAUUGUUCGGACAUUCAAUCAUGACAUGAUCCAUGUGGAUGCUGUCCAUUGAGGAAAGAGUUUGUUCAGCGGUUUCUGGACAGAAUUAAUCCCAAAGAUGGGAAAAAGUGCACAUCCACACAAGGAGCAAGCAAAAAGACAAGGAACUUGGUGCAGAGAAAAGCUGUGGCCAUUAACCCCCAUGUGAACAGCUUCAUGCAGUCCCUGAUAGAGUUUGAAUGUGCGACUUCAAACUAAAGGCCAGUGUCAGUCUGCCACAGUUUAAUGCAUUUAUUUUUAGUGUUCAAUAAAAUUCAAAUAGAAUAUUUAAAACUAUGGGCCAGUGUUCUUUUUACCACAGUUAAAUGUUACCUUUUAGUUGGUGAUGGACUUAAAACUUCAAACUAUGGAACAGUGUUCUUUUUACCACAGUGAAAUGUUACCUUUUAGUCGAUGAUGGACUUUAAACUGAAAACUUCAAACUAUGGACCAGUGUUCUAUUUGCCAGAGUUAAAUAUAUUACAGCAGGGGCCUCCAAACUUGUUUAUACUUUAUAAUAUUUUAUUUUAUUUUACUUGUUUAUUAUUGUUUAUCUUGUUUUAAAUGAUUGUUUCAAUUACAUGUUUUUUUAAUAAAAUUUUUGAUAUAAACAUUGCUUGGAUUGCCUUUUAAUUCAUAAUGUCAUGUCAAGGAUAGCAUUUUUUUACUAUAUUAAUAACUAUAGAUUUAAACCUAAAUAUCUAGCUAUAAUACAUUAUUGUAUUAACUGUAAUAAGUAAUAAAUAGUAUUUAUGGGUCAAUAUAGACAUUACAGUAAAUUACUGUAAAAAUAGGCUAUUAUUGUAAAAUUACAGUACAGUACUGCUUUGUAACUAUACGGUACUAGUUUGUGUACUGUAAAACUGGAUUACAGUACAGUACUGUAGAACCAAAAUACAGUAACUUACUGGCAACCGUGCUGCCAGUACCGUACUGUAAAAAUACAGGGAAAUCGU